CGGGGCGUAGCUCAGAUGGCUAGAGCGCACGCUUUGGGAGCGUGAGGCCGGCGGUUCAAGUCCGCCCGCCCCGACAA
Molecule: transfer RNA, 77 nt
Filed under: Candidatus Roizmanbacteria bacterium RIFCSPHIGHO2_01_FULL_38_41
Lineage: Bacteria; Candidatus Roizmaniibacteriota
Also listed under: 4 other names
Description: tRNA-Pro
Rfam family: tRNA
About the family: Transfer RNA (tRNA) molecules are approximately 80 nucleotides in length. Their secondary structure includes four short double-helical elements and three loops (D, anti-codon, and T loops).
Source: RNAcentral